This 471-nucleotide ribosomal RNA is filed under the name Triticum aestivum (bread wheat). RNAcentral's name for it is "partial small subunit ribosomal RNA". The record is from RNAcentral. Lineage: Eukaryota; Viridiplantae; Streptophyta; Magnoliopsida; Poales; Poaceae.
AUGUCUGCCGCAAGGUCCCGCGCCACGUCGCGGAUGCAGAGCCGGGCGCGUGUGGAGAUGCCUGUCUUCGUCUGUCCGUGCUGCCGAGCGAGUGUUGAUCGGAGGGUUUCUCACACACCGAGGAACCGGAAUCGUCGGUUCUAUGUGUGCAAUGAGAAUGGGGUGACAUGCUUCUUUCUUUGGGUCGAUGGUCUGGCCAAGACUCUGAUAAAUGAACUGCAAGAAGAGCAUGAAGAAUGGUUGCACAUGCUACCCCGAACCAUAGUGGCCGCAACACGAGCUCCGGAAGAAGAGAUGGAAGGCAAAGCACGCACUGACAGAGAGCUAGCUGUUGAGCUUAGGAUGUUGAAUAAGAAGGUUAGGAAGCUUGAAGAUCAAGCACUACCAAUACCCAUUUGCAAAUACUUUUCGGCAUUUGUAGGUAUGGUAAUCGCACUGGUUGUAAUGCUGAAAAUGUAUGGAAAGGCAUGA